ACAGCAAGAAAGGGAGACAAGAGAGGUGCUUCAUCUGCAACACAGAGAAUGCAUACUAAAAGAGAGGCUCAGAUGGAUGCUGAGUACACUUCUGAGGGCCCUUCAGCUUGGCAAAACGUGUAUAGGAUGAUGCAUUGUCCCGGACUACCAUGCCAACACCAAGGACAGUACUGCUGGCAAGACCCAGUGGGGAAAAAGCACUACAAACUCAGGACUCGCCAUCUGACAAACCUUGACAAGUACGUGGAGCAAGGCAGUAUCCUAGAGACGCAUGAAGAUAUCCCUGAUAUGCUCCGAGAGCAACUGUAUGCGGAGGAGCAGCAGCGAUUUGAAAGACAACAAAGGGG
Molecule: small RNA, 347 nt
Filed under: Histoplasma capsulatum
Lineage: Eukaryota; Fungi; Ascomycota; Eurotiomycetes; Onygenales; Ajellomycetaceae
Also listed under: 1 other name
Description: hypothetical RNA
Source: RNAcentral